UCCGUUGUAGUCUAGGUGGUUAGGAACUUAGGAUACUCGGCUCUCACCCGAGAGACCCGGGCUCAAGUCCCGGCAACGGAA
Non-coding RNA from Eragrostis curvula (weeping love grass), 81 nucleotides. NCBI's taxonomy places the organism in Eukaryota, Viridiplantae, Streptophyta, Magnoliopsida, Poales, Poaceae. The record is from the annotation of a GenBank genome assembly.